This 95-nucleotide transfer RNA is filed under the name Acidimicrobiia bacterium. Its description in RNAcentral is "tRNA-Ser". It matches the Rfam family "tRNA". Rfam says of the family: Transfer RNA (tRNA) molecules are approximately 80 nucleotides in length. Their secondary structure includes four short double-helical elements and three loops (D, anti-codon, and T loops). RNAcentral also lists the same sequence under 1 other name. Lineage: Bacteria; Bacillati; Actinomycetota; Acidimicrobiia. The record is from RNAcentral.
GGUGAGGUGGCCGAGAGGCUGAAGGCGGCGGUUUGCUAAACCGUUGUAGGACCUUUAAAGUUCUACCGAGGGUUCGAAUCCCUCCCUCACCGCCA